AAGGCUUCUUGAGACCUGAAAUCCAGAGUCUUCCCGGUAGAGUGGAGAUAGCAUAGUCAGCCACCAUACCAUGGGUUCUACGGCCCACAGAUUCAACCAACCAUGGAGGAGAAAUAUUCAGGGGAGGAGAGCUUGCCUGGGACACAUAAAGCCCUCAGUUCAAUUGGAAAUUUAGUUGGGGGAGUAAAGGAAACAGUUCAGAGCAAAACCAAAUAAAUGCGCAUGACUCAUUGGGAACCACAGCGCUCACCAGGAAGGUGGCUGGUUGGCUGGUUGGUUUUGUUUUGUUUUGUGGAGUUUUUGAGACAGGGUCUCUCUAUGUAGUUCUGGCCACCCUAGAGUUCUCUAUGUAGACCAGGCUGGCCUUCGACUCACAGACAUCUGCUUGCCUCUACCUCCCAAGUGCUGGGAUUAGAGGCAUGUGCUGCCAUGGUUGUCCUGAAAGCUGCUGUUUUGGAGGGUGGCAUCAGUGAGCAGCGACAGAUUCCACUUACACACCUGGCUCGUGUGUGGUCUGCUACUGCGCGGUUAUCCUCACAGAAUGGCCCAGAACUCGAGAGAGGAAGAGGCAGGUAGUUCAGAAGGUCCACAGUUGAAGCGAAGGCUCUAAGAACCCAGUCCCUUUCCUUUGCCUGCCUUCCUGUGGGAGAAGGAACUUUCCAGACUCUCUGCCUGGUUAAAGGGAAUCGACUCCCUUACAACCCUGGUCGAACCCAAGUCCGCAAGAACCAAAAACUGAUGUGACAGGCUCAGCUCCGCUUAAACUGUUAGACCCUCUGAAGAGCCGGGAGACCAGCUGAACCCUGGGUUAGGGAGGUGGCCUGCAGCCACCCAGACUUGGAGCAUCAGAGCCACCUGCUCAGAGAAGCCCCCUGUGGCCCAGGGGCUUCCUUCAGAAGCCUACGCAGAGGGACCCUGGAAACCCAGCACUGAGAUUGGGCCUUGUGAAAAAUGCCGGUGUUGUUUAGCUGGUGGAAUGCUGAUCUGUCGCUGGGAAUAUUGUUUUGUUUAGUGUAGCCUCUGGGUGGGGCUUCCAAAAUCUCCUUCCAGGAUGACCCUCCACCCUAACCCAGCUGGAAACCUAACUAAAGAAAAAGCUGGGAAACACGCAGUCAUUCACUGCCUGAGUGGGAGGAGUGUGUGUGGGGGGGUGCUUCUAGCCAAGGUCGGAAAGGAGCGGCCUGAGAAGGGAAGGAAGGAAGGAAGGAAGCGCCCAGGCUCUGCCCAGACUUCUUCCAACACUCAGGACCCAGGAGAAGCUAGGCUCGGCUCUCCCUGGGUUUUUAUGCUGCUGUCUGGAAAGUCUCCGUCUUCCAGCACCUACUGCCCCCUGUGGCUGACUUCUCUCUCUACGCCCCUCCCCCAGACUAACAGGCCGAAGGGACCGACCUGGAACUGAGUGGCUGCACUGUGGGCUUGCCUGCUCCUUUCCCUCCCCAUCCCUCCCCUUAGUAGCAACGUCACCGCAGCCCAGCCGCCGUGGCAGCAGCAGCAGCAAGAAGACAGGCUGAGAUUGCGCAGCCUCCCUGCAUUAGCUCGGGAUGCCAUUGUACUAACAGAAAUCAGAUCUCAGGGUAUCAGCCCGGUCCCCCUUGUGCGAUCUCGAGGACCAGUGAUUCAGCUGCCAUUGUCGAGGUAGGGCGCGACGGGCGUGCAAAAGGAACGGGAGCCACCAGGUCCAGCUCGAGGCUCCUUGCAGAGGAAUGGCUCUGGGGUGGGGGGUGGGAGGUCACUGCUGGCAGAGGCCGGAUCAGCAUCAGCAUCUGGGCUCUGGCUUCUGAAGGGUGGCUUUGUCUUUCGGAAAGGGAGAGUGACAGCAAGCGGAGACAAACUCAUCUCUGCAUGCAUGCAUGGGCCGGGCAAGAAAGAGGCUUGGGCUGAUGCUAUCUAUCUGUGCUGUUUGGUCAAGAAACAAGAUCCUUUUCUCUUCCUUCCUUCCUUCCUUCCUUCCUUCCUUCCUUCCUUCCUUCCUUCCUUUCUUUCUUUCUAUCUGGGUAUUUCUAAUGAAGCUGCUGUAGCUGCAGCUUUCAAAUCUGGACACAAAGGCUGAAUGGGUGGAGACCCUUCUACAGCUCGUGGAAGUUUAUGCUGAAAACCAUGCAGGAAUCUAUGCAUUCUUAUCCAGAAGGUUGGGUGGCUUUUCCUCCCCACACAUGCAUACUUGUAUGCACACAGACAUAUCCAUUGUAGAAGCUGCCAGGCUCUGGGAUUGGUUGCAGUAAGAAUGAAUGCAAAUGCCCUACAGCGUAUGGAGAGAGGGAUGCUGAAGGCACCUGACCUCUUAUGUUAUACUCAGCCCUGCUCUACAGAGCAGCUUCCUAGCAGGAAGGGACCAAAGCACAAGCUAAACCAAUGCCCCCUGAUCCACCAUACCGCCCUCUUCCCUUCGUCCUGCCCUAGAGAAGACUGUCAGCCCCACAGAGGCUCUCCGAAGGACCUCAGGUCAAGGUCAGAUCACUAAAGUAUAACAAUGAAUGCCUUUGCCUCCCUCCCUGCUAGCUCUGAAGAAACCAGAAAAGCAGCAACUAGGUACUGUGACCAACAGAGGGAUGCUGUUGGGUGAACAAAGACAGGAAGCGGCCUUCUGGAGUUGUCUUGCCCGUAGGCAGACAGAUCCUUAGCCCUGUUUCCACCAUUCACCCGGUAGUCAACUUGGAGAUUAGACGGGAGUUUUACAAUGUGUGACUGGGCAUUUCGGGAGUGUCCUGAGAGUAGGUUAGUUCCCAGCAAGCCAAGAACUGUGAACAGCACAGUGGAGCAAGGGGGAAGUGUCGUGAGAACCAUGAAUGGGCCAGGAUGAGGCAGAAGCCUGAGAACUGGGGCCUGAAGGGCAGGAAACAGGAUUGACCAAUGUGAGAACAUGGGACGAAAGGGGCCGCAGGUUCAGACUAGUUGAUAGAGCUUAUAUAAGUGGUCACGGCAGUGGGCACCAUGGAAUAGUAGGAAACAGCUGUGUGAGGGUGAUGGCCGGACUUGAGGGAGAGGACUGGCCUCAAGCCCUUGAGAAUGAGUGGUAGUAGACACCCUCGAGAGGGGACGUGCCCAGGCUUGGAGCCAUUUCAGCUGUGAUUGGGAGUGAGCUACCCAUAACCUGCAGCUUGGUUUCCUCGUGUGUUAAACGUGUGUGAUGACACACACACCUCUAAUCUCAGUACUCAGGAGGCAGAGGCGGGCAGAUCUCUGAGUUCAAGGCCGGCCUCAGCUACAGAGCCAGUUCUAGGUCAGCCAGGGCUAUACAGAGAGACCCUGUCUCAAAAAUAUAAGCAAGCAAGCCCACGCAGUGAAAAUGCCUGUGACUAUAUGGGGAUGUUUAGAUGGAAUUGGAGAUUCCCUGCAUCUGUGCACCUAGAUGUCACAUCUUCCUGCUGGCUGAGCCACUACUCUACCUACAGAGUUAGAUUUAGGUAGGAGGCUCGUCUUCGUUUAUGGGAGUUUCCUCCUCCUCUCUUCAUUUAAUUAGGAACAACACGUGUGAACUGAGUUCAUUCAUCUCAGAGUGCUCUUCACCCAUGGCCACAGUGUUACAUUCACUCCCAGGGAAGAAGUCUUAGAUGCACUCUCGCUUGUUUUCUGCAGUGUUUGAGGCAAAGUCAAAUGGCUUAUUACAUCAUUCCUCUUUGUGUUGUUUGAGUCAGACUCAGUAGCCCAGGUUAGUUUGAACCGACUGUAGCUCAGACUGGCCUUGAACUCCUAACCUUUCUCCCUACCCUACAGAUGCUGGGGUUAUAGGGGUCACCUCCCUAGCUCCCAUUUCAUUCCUUUUUUUUUUAAUGUUCAAAAAUUAGGGCUCCUAAUUUUUAUUAUUAAUUCUAUUGUUUGCUCACUUAUUUGUAAAACUCUGGCCCUGAGCUGUGUCUCCAGGUCCCUUUAUAAAAAAAAAAAAUGUAUGUGACUGUUUUGCCUGGAUAUAUCUAUGAACCCUAGAGGGAAAUCUAAUAUUGUAUUUAAAGAGAAUCCCCCUACUUAAAGAAAACUAUUAUUUAUGUACAUGGUAUGUAUUAUCUAUAGAUGAAAC
This 4015-nucleotide long non-coding RNA is filed under the name Mus musculus (house mouse). Its description in RNAcentral is "long non-coding RNA chr4:43405045-43409060". The record is from RNAcentral. Lineage: Eukaryota; Metazoa; Chordata; Mammalia; Rodentia; Muridae.